GGGAAUGUGGCUUAGCGGUAGAGUGCUUGUCUGGCACUCAUGAAGCUCUGGGUUUGAUUCCUCAGUACCA
Molecule: non-coding RNA, 70 nt
Organism: Dipodomys ordii (Ord's kangaroo rat)
Lineage: Eukaryota; Metazoa; Chordata; Mammalia; Rodentia; Heteromyidae
Source: Rfam